GACGAACGCUGGCGGCGUGCUUAACACAUGCAAGUCGAACGAAGUGGCGAACGGGUGAGUAACGCGUGAUCAACCUGCCCUUCAGAGGGGGACACCAGUUGGACACGACUCCUACUCCCGCAUACUGACUGAGGGGUUUGCGUCUGAUUGUCUCGGUGGAGGGGUCACGGCCCACCAAGGCGAUGAUCAGUAGCCGGGCUGGGAGGAUUAACGGCCACAUUGGGACUGGGACACGGCCCAGACUCCUACGGGAGGCAGCAGGGGGGAAUCUUCCGCAAUGGACGAAAGUCUGACGGAGCAACGCCGCGUGAGUGAUGACGGCCUUCGGGUUGUAAAGCUCUGUUAAUCGGGACGCGGUACCGGAAGAGAAAGCCACGGCUAACUACGUGCCAGCAGCCGCGGUAAUUC
Molecule: ribosomal RNA, 408 nt
Filed under: uncultured bacterium
Lineage: Bacteria
Description: partial 16S ribosomal RNA
Rfam family: Bacterial small subunit ribosomal RNA
Source: RNAcentral